This 491-nucleotide ribosomal RNA is filed under the name uncultured bacterium. RNAcentral's name for it is "partial 16S ribosomal RNA". It matches the Rfam family "Bacterial small subunit ribosomal RNA", at positions 29 to 507 of the family's 1533-position model. The record is from RNAcentral.
AGUGAACGCUGGCGGUAGGCCUAACACAUGCAAGUCGAACGGCAGCACAGUAAGAGCUUGCUCUUACGGGUGGCGAGUGGCGGACGGGUGAGGAAUACAUCGGAAUCUACUUUUUCGUGGGGGAUAACGUAGGGAAACUUACGCUAAUACCGCAUACGACCUACGGGUGAAAGCAGGGGAUCUUCGGACCUUGCGCGAUUGAAUGAGCCGAUGUCGGAUUAGCUAGUUGGCGGGUAAAGGCCCACCAAGGCGACGAUCCGUAGCUGGUCUGAGAGGAUGAUCAGCCACACUGGAACUGAGACACGGUCCAGACUCCUACGGGAGGCAGCAGUGGGGAAUAUUGGACAAUGGGCGCAAGCCUGAUCCAGCCAUACCGCGUGGGUGAAGAAGGCCUUCGGGUUGUAAAGCCCUUUUGUUGGGAAAGAAAAGCAGCAGGUUAAUACCCCGCUGUUCUGGCGGUACCCAAAGAAUAAGCACCGGCUAACUUCGUG